This 241-nucleotide unclassified non-coding RNA is filed under the name Hevea brasiliensis (rubber tree). The record is from RNAcentral. Lineage: Eukaryota; Viridiplantae; Streptophyta; Magnoliopsida; Malpighiales; Euphorbiaceae.
AUGGUGCAAAAAGAAUGGUUGAGGCAUUCUUCAGCUAGCUCGUAGGUUUGAGUUGUUCUUUUAUGCCAUUGCCAAUUGACAUUUGCACUUUCCUUACCAGACUCAGCACUGAAAGCAUCACCAUCAACUGUAACUCCAUUAAUACCAGCAUUGUUAACCAGGAUAUCCAAUCUUCCAAAUUGAGUUUUGAUGAAAUCAGCGAGAGCAGCAAUACUGGCAGUAUCAGCCACAUCAAGUUGAU